RNAcentral lists this ribosomal RNA (841 nucleotides) under uncultured bacterium. RNAcentral's name for it is "bacterial SSU rRNA". It matches the Rfam family "Bacterial small subunit ribosomal RNA", at positions 595 to 1444 of the family's 1533-position model. The record is from RNAcentral.
UGAAAGACGGUAGCUUAACUAUCGCAGAGCCUUUGAUACUGAUGGGCUUGAAUACAGUUGAAGUGGGCGGAAUGUGACAAGUAGCGGUGAAAUGCAUAGAUAUGUCACAGAACACCGAUUGCGAAGGCAGCUCACUAAAGUGUGAUUGACACUGAGGCACGAAAGCGUGGGGAUCAAACAGGAUUAGAUACCCUGGUAGUCCACGCCCUAAACGAUGAAUACUCGAUGUUGGCGAUAUACGGUCAGCGUCUAAGCGAAAGCGUUAAGUAUUCCACCUGGGGAGUACGCCCGCAAGGGUGAAACUCAAAGGAAUUGACGGGGGCCCGCACAAGCGGAGGAGCAUGUGGUUUAAUUCGAUGAUACGCGAGGAACCUUACCCGGGCUUGAAAGUUAGUGAAUUGAGCAGAGACGCUCAAGUUCUUCGGAACACGAAACUAGGUGCUGCAUGGCUGUCGUCAGCUCGUGCCGUGAGGUGUUGGGUUAAGUCCCGCAACGAGCGCAACCCCUAUGUUUAGUUGCCAGCACGUCAAGGUGGGGACUCUAAACAGACUGCCUACGCAAGUAGAGAGGAAGGAGGGGACGACGUCAAGUCAUCAUGGCCCUUACGUCCGGGGCUACACACGUGCUACAAUGGAUGGUACAGAGGGCUGCUACCUGGCAACAGGAUGCCAAUCUCUAAAAGCCAUUCACAGUUCGGAUCGGGGUCUGCAACUCGACCCCGUGAAGUUGGAUUCGCUAGUAAUCGCAUAUCAGCAAUGAUGCGGUGAAUACGUUCCCGGGCCUUGUACACACCGCCCGGCAAGCCAUGGAAGCUGGGGGUACCUGAAGUAUGUAACCGCAA